This 714-nucleotide ribosomal RNA is filed under the name Bacillus safensis. RNAcentral describes it as "bacterial SSU rRNA". It matches the Rfam family "Bacterial small subunit ribosomal RNA", at positions 57 to 754 of the family's 1533-position model. Lineage: Bacteria; Bacillati; Bacillota; Bacilli; Caryophanales; Bacillaceae. The record is from RNAcentral.
GCAAGUCGAGCGGACAGAAGGGAGCUUGCUCCCGGAUGUUAGCGGCGGACGGGUGAGUAACACGUGGGUAACCUGCCUGUAAGACUGGGAUAACUCCGGGAAACCGGAGCUAAUACCGGAUAGUUCCUUGAACCGCAUGGUUCAAGGAUGAAAGACGGUUUCGGCUGUCACUUACAGAUGGACCCGCGGCGCAUUAGCUAGUUGGUGGGGUAAUGGCUCACCAAGGCGACGAUGCGUAGCCGACCUGAGAGGGUGAUCGGCCACACUGGGACUGAGACACGGCCCAGACUCCUACGGGAGGCAGCAGUAGGGAAUCUUCCGCAAUGGACGAAAGUCUGACGGAGCAACGCCGCGUGAGUGAUGAAGGUUUUCGGAUCGUAAAGCUCUGUUGUUAGGGAAAAACAAGUGCGAGAGUAACUGCUCGCACCUUGACGGUACCUAACCAGAAAGCCACGGCUAACUACGUGCCAGCAGCCGCGGUAAUACGUAGGUGGCAAGCGUUGUCCGGAAUUAUUGGGCGUAAAGGGCUCGCAGGCGGUUUCUUAAGUCUGAUGUGAAAGCCCCCGGCUCAACCGGGGAGGGUCAUUGGAAACUGGGAAACUUGAGUGCAGAAGAGGAGAGUGGAAUUCCACGUGUAGCGGUGAAAUGCGUAGAGAUGUGGAGGAACACCAGUGGCGAAGGCGACUCUCUGGUCUGUAACUGACGCUGAGGAGC